GACGAACGCUGGCGGCGCGCCUAACACAUGCAAGUCGAACGAGCGAGAGAGAGCUUGCUUUCUCGAGCGAGUGGCGAACGGGUGAGUAACGCGUGAGGAACCUGCCUCAAAGAGGGGGACAACAGUUGGAAACGACUGCUAAUACCGCAUAAGCCCACGGGUCGGCAUCGACCAGAGGAAAAAGGAGCAAUCCGCUUUGAGAUGGCCUCGCGUCCGAUUAGCUAGUUGGUGAGGUAAUGGCCCACCAAGGCGACGAUCGGUAGCCGGACUGAGAGGUUGAACGGCCACAUUGGGACUGAGACACGGCCCAGACUCCUACGGGAGGCAGCAGUGGGGAAUAUUGCACAAUGGGGGAAACCCUGAUGCAGCGACGCCGCGUGGAGGAAGAAGGUCUUCGGAUUGUAAACUCCUGUUGUUGGGGAAGAUAAUGACGGUACCCAACAAGGAAGUGACGGCUAACUACGUGCCAGCAGCCGCGGUAAAACGUAGGUCACAAGCGUUGUCCGGAAUUACUGGGUGUAAAGGGAGCGCAGGCGGGAAGACAAGUUGGAAGUGAAAUCUAUGGGCUCAACCCAUAAACUGCUUUCAAAACUGUUUUUCUUGAGUAGUGCAGAGGUAGGCGGAAUUCCCGGUGUAGCGGUGGAAUGCGUAGAUAUCGGGAGGAACACCAGUGGCGAAGGCGGCCUACUGGGCACCAACUGACGCUGAGGCUCGAAAGUGUGGGUAGCAAACAAGAUUAGAUACCCUGGUAGUCCACACCGUAAACGAUGAUUAAUAGGUGUUGGAGGAUUGACCCCUUCAGUGCCGCAGUAACACAAUAA
RNAcentral lists this ribosomal RNA (821 nucleotides) under uncultured bacterium. RNAcentral describes it as "bacterial SSU rRNA". It matches the Rfam family "Bacterial small subunit ribosomal RNA", at positions 28 to 863 of the family's 1533-position model. The record is from RNAcentral.